Molecule: transfer-messenger RNA, 354 nt
Filed under: Methylococcaceae
Lineage: Bacteria; Pseudomonadati; Pseudomonadota; Gammaproteobacteria; Methylococcales
Also listed under: 1 other name
Description: Methylotetracoccus sp004168015 Standard tmRNA
Rfam family: transfer-messenger RNA
About the family: Bacterial tmRNA, also known as 10Sa RNA or SsrA, is named for its dual tRNA and mRNA-like properties. Its role is to liberate the mRNA from a stalled ribosome. To accomplish this part of the tmRNA is used as a reading frame that ends in a translation stop signal.
Source: RNAcentral
GGGGGCGACUUGGCUUCGACGGGAGUCGCAAAACCUGAGGUGCAUGCCGAGGGGCAGAGGACCUCGUAAAUCCAACUGCGACAAAAUAGACGCAAACGACGACGUUUACGCCCUGGCCGCUUAAGGCCAGCCUUCGGUCCGCAGCCAGCUCAUAGGCGGCGGGUUCCGGGGGUAACACAAAUAUGAGAUAGCGAGAGGGUCUGUCCGAGGCCUGAUCGCGAAACACUUAGGACUCGCCGUCCGCUCUCCCUGCCACUCGGGUGGCGUACGGUUAAAUUAAUAGAGCUGGAUAAGCAUGUAGAGCCGAGGGCGGAGGGCUUUCGGACGCGGGUUCAAUUCCCGCCGCCUCCACCA